UAAAGAGCAUGAUGUCAUAUGAGUUUGUUUAUCAGUCCCAAAUAGCUGCUCUGUUUUAGCAAGACCUACGCAGUGUCCUGCAUUUUAGGAAGGCCUAAGAAAGCCACUGAAAAGACGGGAUAAUGGAACAUGCUGUUUACUUUGGACUUAAGAACUCUGUGUACUGCUGGCUGAGAGAAGACCAGUCCCUCCAGAGCCCCAGAUCCUGGUGCAUCGGAGUGAGGUACGGAAAUAGUGAAAUGACAAUCUUCUACCUCAUUUUACAUACAGAAGAAAUCUGCGGCUUUAGCUGAGAAAAGCUACCAUAUGUGAGCACUCUCGAGGCAAUACCAUGCCUUUGUAAGAAGUGAAAUUAAAGUCUGAGAGAACUUCAGAACUUUGUCACCCGCACCUUCACACAUGCUAAGGUGUUCACCAGCUACUGUUUAAAUAAUAAAUCUCUCGCCCCACCCAAGUUCAUUAAUUUUAAGUGUCAACAAUCUAGUUUCCUUUCUGGCAAUCUCUCCCUCUUGAUUUUUUUUUUGAGACUUUAUAAAAGCUUCCCUAGCUCCUAAUGCAUAUGAACAAUUUCAUUUCUCAGUCAGCUGUUCUCUAGCUAGUCCU
Molecule: long non-coding RNA, 603 nt
Organism: Anas platyrhynchos (mallard)
Lineage: Eukaryota; Metazoa; Chordata; Aves; Anseriformes; Anatidae
Source: RefSeq, a predicted model, not a curated record